This 571-nucleotide ribosomal RNA is filed under the name Porodaedalea pini. RNAcentral describes it as "SSU rRNA". It matches the Rfam family "Bacterial small subunit ribosomal RNA", at positions 362 to 949 of the family's 1533-position model. The record is from RNAcentral. Lineage: Eukaryota; Fungi; Basidiomycota; Agaricomycetes; Hymenochaetales; Hymenochaetaceae.
UAUUAGUCAAUGCUCGCAAGAGUGAACUAGCUAACUGAAAUCCUUGGUGUGUCAUCGAGGAUAACGUAAGGGAAAAUAAUGAUACCACCUUACUAUUAGUGUCGUCCAAAUGCUCGUGCCAGAAGACUCGGUAAGGCGAGAGACGCAAACGUUAUUCGUCUUGAUCAGGCGUAAAGGGUUUGUAGGCGGCUUUAAGUAUCCAAUUUUAAGUUUACUAUUAUAAUGCUAUAAGUGUUAUAAUAUUUAUUAAAGGGUCAAUUAAAGCUAGAAUCUAACAGAGGUUAAAACAAUACUUAAGGUAGGUGUACUAACCAUAAAUAAUAAGCAGAGUGUUAAGGGCGAAGGCAUUUAUCCACUGAAGAUUGACGCUGAGAAACGAAGGUGAGGACAGAAAAAAGGAUUAGAGACCCUUGUAUCCCUCACUGUCAACGAUGAAUGGUAGUUACUAGGGAGAAAUAACCUAGAGACGAUGUUAACACGAAAACCAUUCCGCCUUGUGAGUACGACUGCAAAGUUGAAAACAAAAAAAUUAGUCGGUUUCGGAGCAAACGAAGUGAAGCAUGUUAUUUAA